Molecule: long non-coding RNA, 1405 nt
Organism: Bombina bombina (fire-bellied toad)
Lineage: Eukaryota; Metazoa; Chordata; Amphibia; Anura; Bombinatoridae
Exons: 2
Source: RefSeq, a predicted model, not a curated record
UCUUUUUCUUCUUGUUAGGCUCACUUCCGGUAUUGCCGAAACUGGAAGUGACGUCAUUGAAAUAAAAAACUAGAUAUAACAACCGAUAUAAUAAUUGUUAACCUCUAGCUACUUUUAUACAUAGUCUCUGAUUAGACACUUUAGUGAAGAUAUUAAGAUAUUCUUAAUUUUUAACUUUUUAUUCAUAAUUUUAAUGCUUUUACCCAUGAUGCACCUCAACAGGAAGUGGGCGGUCCAAAAAGAGAUGUUUUGGCGCCCAAACACAUCAUUAUUGCUUACUGUAUAUAAGGCCACUGUUGCCACACAAAUUUAUUGUCUUGAAAAAGGCCUUGCAUAGGCCGAAAUGCGUCGACAGUUGGACAUUCAGAAUCUUAACCAAAAGGACACAGAGCACAACUAGGAUCACAUUGGAGGAACAUUGAACACAUUUCUGGCUUUUUUUACCAUUUUUCAUCAAUUUUGUGUAUACAAUUUUUCUGUUUGUUUUUUGUUCACCACAUUUUUAUUUUUAUUAAUUUUUUGGAAUUUUUUCAUUUUUAUAUUUUUCACUCCACUACACCAUCAUAAUUUGGAUUUAUUGUUUGAUUCAUUUGACAUUUGGACAUUUUAUUUGACUUUUGGACACUUUCACUUUUAUAUUGGACACUGUUUCUCACGAUAAAUAUUAAUCUUACACCUUUCAAAUAUUAUGGAUCCAUAAUUGAUAUUAAUCCAAGCUUUUUAAUCUUCAUUUUAAUUGUACUUUUGAGAGUUUCGUCUAUAUUGUAUUAUUGUAUUACUAUCUCAUUAUACUAUUUUAUCACUACAAUGUAUUAAACAAAAUUUUACUACAUUUUUGUAUUCUUAGGAUUAAUAUAUCCUAUUCAGAGAUUCCUAUUCCUUUCAACACCUCAGCCUUUUUAGGCGCUUUAUACAUCUAAUUAUUAUCCAUACACCAGACAGUACUGGGUGGAAAUAAGGAGAGAAUUGGAAAAAUGUUUAUCUUUUAAUAUUGCAUUGGACCCAUUGUUGAUGCUUUUUAACUAUCCCCCUAUGCUAAAAUGUAAACUGAGAUUGAAAUUAUUAUAUAUCAUGAUAAACAGGGCAAAACAACUUAUCCCCAAUUAUGGAAAACCUUGUCUGUCCCCACGAUAGCAGGGUGGAGGGAAUACAUCACACAACUAUUAAAUCUAGAGAGGUACCAUUAUGUUCAGUCUGAGCAAGUGGAGUUUUAUAGCGAUAUGAAAUGUAUCUGGGAGGACUAUUCGGCAUCACAGUAGGCAACUGAUAUGUAAACCUGAUUAUAGCUAAGAAUUGUAUUAGACCCAUAAGGAUCAACAUGUACUUGCAACAUCUCUAAUCAUAUUGUAUUUUCCACUGUUUGUUAUGUACUAUUUCAACAAUAAAGGUAAUUUGGAAAAAAAAA